UACAGAGGGUGCGAGCGUUAAUCGGAAUUACUGGGCGUAAAGCGCGCGUAGGCGGCUUUUCAAGUCGAUUGUGAAAUCCCCAGGCUCAACCUGGGAACUGCAUCCGAUACUGGAUGGCUUGAAUCCGGGAGAGGGAUGCAGAAUUCCAGGUGUAGCGGUGAAAUGCGUAGAUAUCUGGAGGAAUACCGGUGGCGAAGGCGGCAUCCUGGACCGGCAUUGACGCUGAGGAGCGAAAGCUAGGGGAGCAAACGGG
This 253-nucleotide ribosomal RNA is filed under the name uncultured bacterium. RNAcentral describes it as "partial 16S ribosomal RNA". It matches the Rfam family "Bacterial small subunit ribosomal RNA", at positions 524 to 776 of the family's 1533-position model. The record is from RNAcentral.